GAGUUUGAUCCUGGUUCAGAUUGAACGCUAGCGGGAUGCUUUACACAUGCAAGUCGAACGGCAGCACGAGAGAGCUUGCUCUCUUGGUGGCGAGUGGCGGACGGGUGAGUAAUAUAUCGGAACGUGCCCAGUAGCGGGGGAUAACUACUCGAAAGAGUGGCUAAUACCGCAUACGCCCUACGGGGGAAAGGGGGGGAUUCUUCGGAACCUCUCACUAUUGGAGCGGCCGAUAUCGGAUUAGCUAGUUGGUGGGGUAAAGGCUCACCAAGGCAACGAUCCGUAGCUGGUUUGAGAGGACGACCAGCCACACUGGGACUGAGACACGGCCCAGACUCCUACGGGAGGCAGCAGUGGGGAAUUUUGGACAAUGGGGGAAACCCUGAUCCAGCCAUCCCGCGUGUAUGAUGAAGGCCUUCGGGUUGUAAAGUACUUUUGGCAGAGAAGAAAAGGUACCUCCUAAUACGAGGUACUGCUGACGGUAUCUGCAGAAUAAGCACCGGCUAACUACGUGCCAGCAGCCGCGGUAAUAC
Molecule: ribosomal RNA, 530 nt
Filed under: uncultured Alcaligenes sp.
Lineage: Bacteria; Pseudomonadati; Pseudomonadota; Betaproteobacteria; Burkholderiales; Alcaligenaceae
Description: bacterial SSU rRNA
Rfam family: Bacterial small subunit ribosomal RNA
Source: RNAcentral